Molecule: ribosomal RNA, 157 nt
Filed under: Fusarium oxysporum
Lineage: Eukaryota; Fungi; Ascomycota; Sordariomycetes; Hypocreales; Nectriaceae
Description: 5.8S ribosomal RNA
Rfam family: 5.8S ribosomal RNA
About the family: 5.8S ribosomal RNA (5.8S rRNA) is a component of the large subunit of the eukaryotic ribosome. It is transcribed by RNA polymerase I as part of the 45S precursor that also contains 18S and 28S rRNA.
Source: RNAcentral
UAAAUAAAUCAAAACUUUCAACAACGGAUCUCUUGGUUCUGGCAUCGAUGAAGAACGCAGCAAAAUGCGAUAAGUAAUGUGAAUUGCAGAAUUCAGUGAAUCAUCGAAUCUUUGAACGCACAUUGCGCCCGCCAGUAUUCUGGCGGGCAUGCCUGUU